GAUGAACGCUGGCGGCGUGCCUAAUACAUGCAAGUCGAGCGAACAGACGAGGAGCUUGCUCCUCUGACGUUAGCGGCGGACGGGUGAGUAACACGUGGAUAACCUACCUAUAAGACUGGGAUAACUUCGGGAAACCGGAGCUAAUACCGGAUAAUAUAUUGAACCGCAUGGUUCAAUAGUGAAGGACGGUUUUGCUGUCACUUAUAGAUGGAUCCGCGCCGCAUUAGCUAGUUGGUAAGGUAACGGCUUACCAAGGCAACGAUGCGUAGCCGACCUGAGAGGGUGAUCGGCCACACUGGAACUGAGACACGGUCCAGACUCCUACGGAAGGCAGCAGUAGGGAAUCUUCCGCAAUGGGCGAAAGCCUGACGGAGCAACGCCGCGUGAGUGAUGAAGGUCUUCGGAUCGUAAAACUCUGUUAUUAGGGAAGAACAAAUGUGUAAGUAACUAUGCACGUCUUGACGGUACCUAAUCAGAAAGCCACGGCUAACUACGUG
RNAcentral lists this ribosomal RNA (497 nucleotides) under uncultured bacterium. Its description in RNAcentral is "partial 16S ribosomal RNA". It matches the Rfam family "Bacterial small subunit ribosomal RNA", at positions 28 to 507 of the family's 1533-position model. The record is from RNAcentral.